Molecule: non-coding RNA, 1626 nt
Organism: Paramormyrops kingsleyae
Lineage: Eukaryota; Metazoa; Chordata; Actinopteri; Osteoglossiformes; Mormyridae
Source: RefSeq, a predicted model, not a curated record
CUAUAAUCCUGACCUUCUUCCACAGCUCCUCCAAGAACAUUCUGGACUUUUAUUGGAGUUGUUAUUGGAGUCCUUCUUUUACUUUCAAUCUGCGUCUAUACACAAUGGAAUCAGAAGAGGAAGGAAGCUGACCGACUUCCAAAUUCCAGUGAUCCACUCAUUUCAGUGAACCAGCGGGCUAAUAAUGGAGGUCAAUCUGGCUGCAGUGUGAAGAAUGAGGCUCCAUGUUAGAGACGCGUGACCACAAUCCCCAUGUUCCACAUCCUGCAUUUGUCUUGCCUUCAUCAGAGUCUCCUUCCCAAAGCCGUACCUCCGUACCCAUGUUACACCCCCAGCACCAAACCCGUGUUUCAAACCCGGAGCCAAAGCCUCAUGUAUCACAUAAAAUCCCACGCCAGUGUUUUACAGCCUGACCUGCCGUCACUGAUUCCUGUCAGAUGUCCUUCACCAAACGGCUCUCAUGGUCUCCUCACCCAUGUCAUCGGCAUUCAUGCUGGAGCCAGCUGAUGCUGUUUGUGGGUCCAUCAAACUAUGCAGCAUCACGCAGGAGUAACAUCUCCCACAUGUCAUCCCCAUGUGACACUGAGGUCACAUGACCAAUAGGUGCCUUUGACAUGCAGACAAGAUGAUUAAAUAGAUGGAUGGAUGAUGGAUCAUUAAUCCCUAAGGAAACUGAGGCACCAGUAGCUCCAAAACACAAUGAUAGACACAAUAAUGCACACGGUAAUAGAAUAAAGCACAAGGAUUGCAGAUGUAGAGGGUGCGUCUAUGGAUACAGUGCAAAGGCCAAUACCUCGAAGAAGCUAUUUAUCAUAUUCAUAAGAUAUCGAUAUCCAAUGCCCUCCCUAUCCUGCCAGCUGUUUUGCACAGAAGUACAGGUCACAGUCAGAAAUUACUUUUGCCUGGGUAAUAAUUGAAGCAUUAUGCCUUUUGAUUACAGACAAGUGAGUUGCUGAGAUGAUUCAUGUUUGUUUCUGUUUGUUUGUUUUUAAUCACCUUCUAUAUCAAUUUGCAUCUUUCAACAGACGUUCUGUAGUUAAAAAUUUAGUCUGCUUUAAGUCCCCUUAAAAUGCACACACAGUACAUUUGUACAGUGUGUUCUGCUAUAACGGUCAUUGGGAAAAUGCGAAUUUACUCUAAUGUGAUUGGUAUAUUGGGGAACUGUUGCAGUAUAGUGCGAUGUUAGUAGAUGUAAGUUUUAAACACAAUUUUGUCUGUGAGAAACACCAGGUGAAUGUAGAAAAUGCCACCCAGCUGAACCUACCUGUGUUGAAAUGCAUGGAAUGCACUCAACUGAAAUACCCAGCUACUGCAUUAUAGGAGAACAUACUGCUGCUUUGCAGUAGCUGGGUUGAACUAAAAGCUGGUUCCAUUUUGUAUUGUUUGCAAAGAAUGCUAGUUUUCUGUUGUUUGGCUUCCGUGGCUGUUCACCAGAGGAAACGGACUCCCCGGCUGAAUGCUCUGCUAUGGCGUCUGGUGUCUGACUGCCUCGUACUUAUUAUAUAUAUUUUUUGCUUUGCACUUUUUCACUUUGUUGUGUUUUUCUUUUCUUUUUUAUGUGUAUGUACCAGGCAGCUUGUUUGUGGCAUUCACGUGGUGUCUAUCAUUAAACCAUGACUACAUUAA